RNAcentral lists this ribosomal RNA (468 nucleotides) under uncultured bacterium. RNAcentral's name for it is "partial 16S ribosomal RNA". It matches the Rfam family "Bacterial small subunit ribosomal RNA", at positions 28 to 507 of the family's 1533-position model. The record is from RNAcentral.
GACGAACGCUGGCGGCGUGCUUAACACAUGCAAGUCGAACGGAAAGGCGCUGCUUUUGUGGGGUGCUCGUGUGGCGCACGGGUGAGUAACACGUGAGUAACCUGCCCUUGACUUUGGGAUAACAUCAGGAAACUGGGGCUAAUACCCGAUAGGAGCUCCUGCUGCAUGGUGUGGGUUGGAAAGUUUCGGCGGUUGGGGAUGGACUCGCGGCUUAUCAGCUUGUUGGUGGGGUAGUUGAUUACCAAGGCUUUGACGGGUAGCCGGCCUGAGAGGGUGACCGGGCACAUUGGGACUGAGAUACGGCCCAGACUCCUACGGGAGGCAGCAGUGGGGAAUCUGGCACAAUGGGCGGAAGCCUGAUGCAGCAACGCCGCGUGCGGGAUGACGGCCUUCGGGUUGUAAACCGCUUUCGCCUGUGACGAAGAGUGAGUGACGGUAAUGGGUAAAGAAGCACCGGCUAACUACGUG